GACGAACGCUGGCGGCGUGCCUAAUACAUGCAAGUUGAGCGCUGAAGGUUGGUACUUGUACCGACUGGAUGAGCAGCGAACGGGUGAGUAACGCGUGGGGAAUCUGCCUUUGAGCGGGGGACAACAUUUGGAAACGAAUGCUAAUACCGCAUAAAAACUUUAAACACAAGUUUUAAGUUUGAAAGAUGCAAUUGCAUCACUCAAAGAUGAUCCCGCGUUGUAUUAGCUAGUUGGUGAGGUAAAGGCUCACCAAGGCGAUGAUACAUAGCCGACCUGAGAGGGUGAUCGGCCACAUUGGGACUGAGACACGGCCCAAACUCCUACGGGAGGCAGCAGUAGGGAAUCUUCGGCAAUGGACGAAAGUCUGACCGAGCAACGCCGCGUGAGUGAAGUAGGUUUUCGGAUCGUAAAACUCUUUUGGUAGAGAAGAACGUUGGUGAGAGUGGAAAGCUCAUCAAGUGACGGUAACUACCCAGAAAGGGACGGCUAACUACGUG
This 497-nucleotide ribosomal RNA is filed under the name uncultured bacterium. RNAcentral describes it as "partial 16S ribosomal RNA". It matches the Rfam family "Bacterial small subunit ribosomal RNA", at positions 28 to 507 of the family's 1533-position model. The record is from RNAcentral.